This 424-nucleotide ribosomal RNA is filed under the name uncultured Vicingus sp. RNAcentral's name for it is "bacterial SSU rRNA". It matches the Rfam family "Bacterial small subunit ribosomal RNA", at positions 355 to 776 of the family's 1533-position model. Lineage: Bacteria; Pseudomonadati; Bacteroidota; Flavobacteriia; Flavobacteriales; Vicingaceae. The record is from RNAcentral.
UGAGGAAUAUUGGUCAAUGGACGCAAGUCUGAACCAGCCAUGCCGCGUGCAGGAUGAAUGCCCUAUGGGUUGUAAACUGCUUUUAUAUAGGAAUAAACCCCCUCUCGUGAGAGGGGCUGAAGGUACUAUAAGAAUAAGGACCGGCUAACUCCGUGCCAGCAGCCGCGGUAAUACGGAGGGUCCAAGCGUUAUCCGGAUUUAUUGGGUUUAAAGGGUCCGCAGGCGGGAAAAUAAGUCAGUGGUGAAAUCCUAUCGCUUAACGAUAGAACUGCCAUUGAUACUGUUUUUCUUGAGUGUAAUUGAAGUGGGCGGAAUGUGUCAUGUAGCGGUGAAAUGCAUAGAUAUGACACAGAACACCGAUUGCGAAGGCAGCUCACUAAAUUAUUACUGACGCUCAGGGACGAAAGCGUGGGGAGCAAACAGG